This 255-nucleotide ribosomal RNA is filed under the name uncultured bacterium. RNAcentral's name for it is "partial 16S ribosomal RNA". It matches the Rfam family "Bacterial small subunit ribosomal RNA", at positions 524 to 776 of the family's 1533-position model. The record is from RNAcentral.
UACGAAGGGGGCUAGCGUUGCUCGGAAUCACUGGGCGUAAAGGGUGCGUAGGCGGGUCUUUUAAGUCAGGGGUGAAAUCCCGAGGCUCAACCUCGGAACUGCCUUUGAUACUGGGGAUCUCGAGUUCGGGAGAGGUGAGUGGAAUUGCGAGUGUAGAGGUGAAAUUCGUAGAUAUUCGCAAGAACACCAGUGGCGAAGGCGGCUCACUGGCCCGAUACUGACGCUGAGGUGCGAAAGCGUGGGGGAGCAAACAGG